CUCCACCCAGCCCCUGUGCCCCUCACUUCCUGUUUCCGCUGCCCUGGAUGCCCCAAAUCCUGCCCUCACCCGGUCCCGUGCGUCAGCCCAGCAGCGCGCGGCGCAGGUGAAACAGCUCGGUCUCUCAACUCCGGAGACAGGCAGCCGCCCUGGGGUCACUCGGCUGCGCCCCUCAAAGGGUCCCUGGUGCCCGCAGGCGCAGGCGGGCAUCCUCCAAGCCGACUCCAGCCCUUACUGGGCUCUCAGGACCUGUGAAGCCUGGCUCCACCCUUUCAACCACGCUGCCCUCCACCCGCUCCUGCACCCUCCAGUUCCUGUCUACACCGCAGUUUCUCCUGCAAGAACCUGUGGAGCGGCUGGACCACAGCCCGCAAGCCUCCUGGCUCUGCGCCUCUCCUAACUCCGCUCCAGGCCUUGCUGCAUCCUCGGGGAAGCUCCCCGCCCUUCCUUCCGGGCUCAGAGCUCUCGCACCGGGAAGCGGGAAGCGCUUUCCCGGGAGACAGGGGCACUGGGCAGUCGCGGAUUUCUAGGAGACCGAGGUCUGCUUCCCACAGCAUGAGCUCCCUGGGGCGGGGACUGCGACCCAGAUGGGCCGUCUCCGUCCCGGGACCCAGCCCUGGGCCAGCAGACACAGGCAGAACCGACGCCCGCGCGCCGGGCUCAGGGGCCGGGGCUUCGUCCUGCAGGACUUCAGAACGGGUGGGUGGAGCCACCAUUCUCCUGGGGAGCUGCUGCUCAGGGCGCCCAGGACACCCUUACUCCUUCCG
Molecule: long non-coding RNA, 767 nt
Filed under: Heterocephalus glaber (naked mole-rat)
Lineage: Eukaryota; Metazoa; Chordata; Mammalia; Rodentia; Bathyergidae
Description: lncRNA (ENSHGLG00100037490.1)
Source: RNAcentral